GCACAAGCGGUGGAUGAUGUGGAUUAAUUCGAUGCAACGCGAAAAACCUUACCUACCUUGACAUGCCAGGAACUUGCCAGAGAUGGCUUGGUGCUCGAAAGAGAACCUGGACACAGGUGCUGCAUGGCUGUCGUCAGCUCGUGUCGUGAGAUGUUGGGUUAAGUCCCGCAACGAGCGCAACCCUUGUCAUUAGUUGCCACCAUUCAGUUGGGCACUCUAAUGAGACUGCCGGUGACAAACCGGAGGAAGGUGGGGAUGACGUCAAGUCCUCAUGGCCCUUAUGGGUAGGGCUUCACACGUCAUACAAUGGUCGGUACAGAGGGUUGCCAACCCGCGAGGGGGAGCCAAUCCCACAAAGCCGAUCGUAGUCCGGAUUGGAGUCUGCAACUCGACUCCAUGAAGUCGGAAUCGCUAGUAAUCGUGGAUCAGCAUGUCACGGUGAAUACGUUCCCGGGUCUU
RNAcentral lists this ribosomal RNA (459 nucleotides) under uncultured Nitrosomonadaceae bacterium. RNAcentral describes it as "bacterial SSU rRNA". It matches the Rfam family "Bacterial small subunit ribosomal RNA", at positions 923 to 1382 of the family's 1533-position model. The record is from RNAcentral. Lineage: Bacteria; Pseudomonadati; Pseudomonadota; Betaproteobacteria; Nitrosomonadales; Nitrosomonadaceae.